This 424-nucleotide ribosomal RNA is filed under the name Verrucomicrobiota bacterium. RNAcentral's name for it is "Verrucomicrobia bacterium partial 16S ribosomal RNA". It matches the Rfam family "Bacterial small subunit ribosomal RNA", at positions 355 to 776 of the family's 1533-position model. RNAcentral also lists the same sequence under 1 other name. The record is from RNAcentral. Lineage: Bacteria; Pseudomonadati; Verrucomicrobiota.
UGAGGAAUAUUGGUCAAUGGGCGAGAGCCUGAACCAGCCAAGUAGCGUGCAGGAUGACGGCCCUAUGGGUUGUAAACUGCUUUUAUGUGGGGAUAAAGUGCGUGACGUGUCAUGCAUUGCAGGUACCACAUGAAUAAGGACCGGCUAAUUCCGUGCCAGCAGCCGCGGUAAUACGGAAGGUCCGGGCGUUAUCCGGAUUUAUUGGGUUUAAAGGGAGCGUAGGCUGUCUAUUAAGCGUGUUGUGAAAUUUACUGGCUCAACCGGUGGCUUGCAGCGCGAACUGGUCGACUUGAGUAUGCAGGAAGUAGGCGGAAUUCAUGGUGUAGCGGUGAAAUGCUUAGAUAUCAUGACGAACUCCGAUUGCGCAGGCAGCUUACUGUAGCAUAACUGACGCUGAUGCUCGAAAGUGCGGGUAUCAAACAGG